This 82-nucleotide transfer RNA is filed under the name Aetokthonos hydrillicola. Its description in RNAcentral is "tRNA-Leu". It matches the Rfam family "tRNA". Rfam says of the family: Transfer RNA (tRNA) molecules are approximately 80 nucleotides in length. Their secondary structure includes four short double-helical elements and three loops (D, anti-codon, and T loops). Lineage: Bacteria; Bacillati; Cyanobacteriota; Cyanophyceae; Nostocales; Hapalosiphonaceae. RNAcentral also lists the same sequence under 3 other names. The record is from RNAcentral.
GCGGAUGUGGCGGAAUUGGCAGACGCGCUAGAUUUAGGUUCUAGUGCCGAGAGGCGUGAAGGUUCAAGUCCUUUCAUCCGCA